UACGUAGGGGGCAAGCGUUGUCCGGAAUCACUGGGCGUAAAGCGCGCGUAGGCGGUCAUCUAAGUCUGGGGUGAAAGCCCGGAGCUCAACUCCGGGAUUGCCUUGGAUACGGGAUGACUUGAGGAUCGGAGAGGCAAGGGGAAUUCCACGUGUAGCGGUGAAAUGCGUAGAGAUGUGGAGGAACACCUGUGGCGAAGGCGCCUUGCUGGCCGAUUUCUGACGCUGAGGCGCGAAAGCGUGGGGAGCAAACAGG
Molecule: ribosomal RNA, 253 nt
Filed under: uncultured bacterium
Lineage: Bacteria
Description: partial 16S ribosomal RNA
Rfam family: Bacterial small subunit ribosomal RNA
Source: RNAcentral